GGCUCCGGCCCUAUCAGCUGAAAGGCGCCCGAUCUCGUCUGUGAUCUCGAAGCUAAGCAGGGUCGGGCCUGGUUAGGAUCUUGGAUGGGAGACCACCUGGGAUCCCGGGUGCUCGAGGCU
Molecule: ribosomal RNA, 120 nt
Filed under: Bos taurus (domestic cattle)
Lineage: Eukaryota; Metazoa; Chordata; Mammalia; Artiodactyla; Bovidae
Source: RNAcentral